Molecule: long non-coding RNA, 3882 nt
Organism: Columba livia (rock pigeon)
Lineage: Eukaryota; Metazoa; Chordata; Aves; Columbiformes; Columbidae
Exons: 5
Source: RefSeq, a predicted model, not a curated record
UGCCAAGGAGUCGGGAAGCUUCUGGGUCGCCCGUAGUCAGAGUGGGGGGGGUGCAGAGAAGUCGAGAAGCUUCUGGAAUGCCCACAGCCAGAUAUGAUCAGACUAUAAAAACAGGGUGCCCACUGAGGAUCCCCUUUGUGUGGUGUUCUCGGAGCUGUGGAUCUGUGCUGCCAAAGCCCUCCCCUUAGACUGGGACAUAGUCUAAGGUAACUUCCCGGGAUUGGAAGUGCAUCACCUCCUCGUUUGGCUCAUGAGACAUAACCUGGUAGACAGAACUAGUGAGUAAAUAUUUGUUGGUCAUACCACCCAUGGCAUUCAGCUGUUCACAUGAAAACCCAAUGGAAAAGACAAGACUUCAGCUGCAGUCUGGUACCUGUAUGUGCCAGGCCUAUACCUAAGCCUGCUUUAAAAGAUACAUGGAAUAUGCAUUCAUCUGUUUAUAUUUUAGGAUUUUGAAGACUGGGGGUUGGAGCACUCAUGCCGCUUCUCUUCAGUUCUCUCACUUGUGACGUGGACAGCCAUUGAAAGCAGAAUACAAAGCAAGAGGAGUAUCCUAAUGGUAUAUAUCUACAAAUCGUGUUAUGAGAAAUUUCCUAACACAGGACACAUUCAAAACAGGAAAAAUGACGAACAAAGAUAAUUCAACUUUGUUUUUAAAUAGAAUGUGAAGGUCAGAACUAAUGCUACAUUCUGUGACAAAAGGAGCCUUAUUUGAGGAAAAUUAACCAAAAUCAAGUUCUGCAAUUUCAUAAUAUUUUAUAUGGUUCACUAAACUGUUAUGGUACUGUAGUUCUCUGAUCCUGGGAUUGAUUAUCAGGUUUAUUUUAUAGUCACUAAAAUGAAAUAAAAAUCAUCUGGCAAAAUUUAGAGUGUAUUACUAAUUUGACAAUUUCCCUACUAAAGCACAUAGUUUGUAUUGGUUUUUGGUAAGAAGAAGUUCCAAAACUCAGUGACUUGAUAUCCCCAAGAUGUUUCAGGCAAGUGUCAUUGCAUGAGACCCUUUUAUUAUGCUUUGCAAACUGGCUUAUGACCACUGUUGUAGAUAAAACAUUGGAUUGGAUCUUCAAUGCAACACAUCUAUUCCUAUGUUACGAUGUCUCAUGGACACAUAGAUAUAUUAAUAGUUCAAAGACUAGCCACAUCUUUACAAAACAUAACACUUGAUGUUCCUCUUAACAGCUUAAUAGCUCUCUCAUAUUUGUAUUUGAAAAUUAGAUUAAAACUUAUUUCAAGUAUCUUUCAUUUUUACAGGACAAAGCAUGUAGUUGUGGACUAACAUGUAAAACAGCUAUGCUAUCAAAAGCUCUUUGAAGAACCUGACUUGAUGAAUGACUUAGCAAAAAACAGAAUUGACUGAGUUGGAAAAGUCCUGAGAGAUCAUCAAGUCCAACUCUUGGUCCAACUUCAGUCCAUUUACUAGAUCAUGGCACUAAGUGCCAUCCAUGUCCAAUCCCAGUCUAAAAACCUUCAGGGACGGUGAGUCCACUACCUCCCUGGGCAGGCCAUUCCAAUGCCUGACCACUCUCUCUGUAAAGAAUUUCUUUCUAAUAUCCAGCCUACAUUUCCCCUGGCAGAGUUUAAGCCCAUGCCCCCUUGUCCUAUUGCUAACUGCCUGGGAGAAGAGACCAAUCCCCACCUGGCUAUAACUUCCCUUCAGGUAGUUAUAGAGAGUGAUGAGGUCACCUCUAAGCCUCCUCUUCUCUAGACUAAUCAACCCCAGCUCCCUCAGCCUCUUCCCUUAUGUCUUUGUGUUCAAGUCUCUUCACCAGUCUUGUUGCUCUUCUCUGGACCUGCUCCAGCACUUCAAUGUCUUUCCCGAACUGAGGGGCCCAGAACUGAACACAAUACUCCAGGUGUGGCCUCACCAAUGCAAAGUACAGGGGCAGGAUCACUUCCCUUGUCCUGCUGACCACGCUAUUUUUGAUACAGGACAGGAUACCAUUGGCCUUCUUCAACCUCUAGGUCAAGUCUGAUUUUUGAGCAUUCUUUUUCUAUGGAUAUUCCUCCUCAGCCCUCCCUAAGGCUCUAGAUACUUUUAACCAAAACCUGCCCCGUCUUUUUUCCAUGUUGCCAGCUUUCCUAACUUUCUAGCGGUCCUCAGUUAUAAUCUAACUUUUGAUAAGAUGAUAUCAGCAGCAUUUACCUAAAGGGGAGAAGGAACAGAAAACAGUUGCCAUUAAAAGGAUAGCUAAACAAAAUGGACUCAUAACCAGCACCUCAGACCUCAAACCAUCAAGUCCUAACAGUUGAAGAACAAUGUGUUGUAAGAUUCUCUUAUCCACUAACAUACCAUAUACAGUCUGUGACUCUGCAAUUAGGACAAGAUAAGUUGCAUGCAGUGCACCUACUCAGUGAUUAUAACCAUAAAAUCCUCUAAUAUCGUGGUAACAACAAAUUAGUUUUUAACAGCCUAUCUUGCUCCCCUUGCCUUUGCCAUGAAAAUCCACUUCCAAAAGAUGAGUCCUGAGUUAUGAUCAUAAAAAGGCUGUAUCUUAUACAUAAAUACAAAUGGUUUAAAUUCAAAUACGGUCUAAUGUCUCCACCUACAGACCUGUUUCCCUGAAAAAAAAGAUAUUUUGUAUAAUUGGGGUUUUUUCUUCUUCUUCUUUGGAAAAAACACUUCUAAAUUAACAUAAUCAUAUCUGUCAUAAAUAGAGAAUAAAAAAUGGAACAUUCACACUUAGACUGGCUUGACAGCAUUUUAUAAAUCAUGGUUUUCCUUAUGAUCAGAAGAAACAGUAUGGGCCACUGUCUUUUAUAUUGCAGCUUCCUAUAAAAGAGAUCAAAAAGCGUCACACAAAUUGAUAACUGUCUCCUGUCAGACCUCUUAGCAAAUGAGUAUUUACAAUCCAUAUUACAUGUACGAUAAACUCAAGUAUUUUAAGGGGGAGUGACAUUUAAAGAAGCAAUAGGGAAGUGGAACAUAGUGUUUUAGAUCUUGACUCAGCAAGAGUUCCUGUGCUUAACUUCAUACUUGAAUUACAAGUGUAAAUUGAAUAGCGGUCCUUUCACCUGAUGAGGUUAUUGUUCCAGUUCUUUCAGAAAUAAAGGAAAAGACAAUCCCAUUUACUUCUUAGCAUUUCUUACAUUGCUAUGUUCUUCUGGUUUUGAUUUCCAGCUGAAUCAAAUACAAUUACAGUCAAUGAAAGAGGUGACCUCUGUACCACAAGAAAGCCAGGGCCAGAAUCAUCAGUUAUUAAGUAAAGAUUUAUUGUUUUUUUAAUAAACACCUUUCACCUUCUGUGUCAUAAGAAAGACUCCUACAAACAACAUCUCAGCUGAGUACCAUCAUAACAUGCUUUAUAAGAAACAGGAAUAUAAACAUGCAGAAGUGAUAACAAAAUAAGUUAUAAUUACAGUUUAAUUUUAUAAUUACACCUGCAAUACUGUCUACCCCCACAAGGAUGAACUAAUUUUAAAUCAUGCUUAAAUUUUACUCUUUUUGUAAGAUUAUUCCUCUUCCAUCAGAAUUUUUCCAGAUGAGACAUAUCAACUGAUGAAUGAGGCCAUUAAAAUAUAUGUUCUCCUAGUAGUCAACAUUUGAUCACUUAACCAAGAAAGGCCUCCGUUGUGUUAGUUUUCCCCAAUUACACUUGCCUUCCAGCUGCCAAGGGCUCAGGGUGGCCACUUUGUACUCUUUUCCCAUAAGCUUAACUAUCUUCUUAUGUUCUCAGCUUAAACUCUUUCUAAAUUUAUUUCAGUCAAAUCUGCAAUUGACAUAAAAAACUAUAACAUAAAAGGUAUAGCUUCAAAUUAUAUGAUCAACGGAUGAAACACCCUGGAAAUAAACAGCAGAAGAGCUAAUGCAGUUUUAGGUUAUCUGCUAAAUAUCCUAUUUUUUCUACCCAGUUGAAUAAACUUAUGCCCUUAUUAUCACUUUUA